Molecule: ribosomal RNA, 422 nt
Filed under: uncultured bacterium
Lineage: Bacteria
Description: bacterial SSU rRNA
Rfam family: Bacterial small subunit ribosomal RNA
Source: RNAcentral
UAAGGAAUAUUGGACAAUGGUCGCAAGACUGAUCCAGCCAUGCCGCGUGCAGGAAGACGGCCCUAUGGGUUGUAAACUGCUUUUGUACCAGAGAAAACCUAUCUACGUGUAGAUAGCUGAUAGUAUGGUAAGAAUAAGCAUCGGCUAACUUCGUGCCAGCAGCUGCGGUAAGACGAAGGAUGCAAGCGUUAUCCGGAUUCAUUGGGUUUAAAGGGUGCGUAGGCGGGCUUGUAAGUCAGUGGUGAAAUCUCUCAGCUUAACUGAGAAACUGCCAUUGAUACUGCAGGCCUAGAGUAUAGAUGACGUUGGCGGAAUAUGACAUGUAGUGGUGAAAUACUUAGAUAUGUCAUAGAACACCGAUUGCGAAGGCAGCUAACGAAACUAUAACUGACGCUGAGGCACGAAAGUGCGGGGAUCAAACA